UAACGGCUUACCAAGCCAUUGAUCGGUACGGGUUGUGAGAGCAAGAGCCCGGAGAUGGAACCUGAGACAAGGUUCCAGGCCCUACGGGGUGCAGCAGGCGCGAAACCUCCGCAAUGUGAGAAAUCGCGACGGGGGGAUCCCAAGUGCCAUUCUUAACGGGAUGGCUUUUCAUUAGUGUAAAGAGCUUUUGGAAUAAGGGCUGGGCAAGACCGGUGCCAGCCGCCGCGGUAACACCGGCAGCUCUAGUGGUAGCAGUUUUUAUUGGGCCUAAAGCGUCCGUAGCCGGUUUAAUAAGUCUCUGGUGAAAUCCUGUAGCUUAACUGUGGGAAUUGCUGGAGAUACUAUUAGACUUGAGACCGGGAGAGGUUAGAGGUACUCCCAGGGUAGAGGUGAAAUUCUGUAAUCCUGGGAGGACCGCCUGUUGCGAAGGCGUCUAACUGGAACGGUUCUGACGGUGAGGGACGAAAGUUAGGGGCGCGAACCGGAUUAGAUACCCGGGUAGUCCUAACCGUAAACGAUGCGGACUUGGUGUUGGGGUGGCUUUGAGCUGCUCCAGUGCCGAAGGGAAGCUGUUAAGUCCGCCGCCUGGGAAGUACGGUCGCAAGACUGAAACUUAA
RNAcentral lists this ribosomal RNA (617 nucleotides) under uncultured archaeon. RNAcentral's name for it is "bacterial SSU rRNA". It matches the Rfam family "Archaeal small subunit ribosomal RNA", at positions 242 to 859 of the family's 1478-position model. The record is from RNAcentral.